Molecule: transfer RNA, 75 nt
Filed under: Homo sapiens (human)
Lineage: Eukaryota; Metazoa; Chordata; Mammalia; Primates; Hominidae
Description: nmt-tRNA-Gln-TTG-6-1
Rfam family: tRNA
About the family: Transfer RNA (tRNA) molecules are approximately 80 nucleotides in length. Their secondary structure includes four short double-helical elements and three loops (D, anti-codon, and T loops). Further hydrogen bonds mediate the characteristic L-shaped molecular structure. tRNAs have two regions of fundamental functional importance: the anti-codon, which is responsible for specific mRNA codon recognition, and the 3' end, to which the tRNAs corresponding amino acid is attached (by aminoacyl-tRNA synthetases). tRNAs cope with the degeneracy of the genetic code in two manners: having more than one tRNA (with a specific anti-codon) for a particular amino acid; and 'wobble' base-pairing, i.e. permitting non-standard base-pairing at the 3rd anti-codon position.
Source: RNAcentral
UCUAGGAUGUGGUGUGAUAGGUAGCAUGGAGAAUUUUGGAUUCUCAGGGGUAGGUUCAAUUCCUAUAUUCUAGAA